This 811-nucleotide ribosomal RNA is filed under the name uncultured archaeon. RNAcentral describes it as "bacterial SSU rRNA". It matches the Rfam family "Archaeal small subunit ribosomal RNA", at positions 85 to 879 of the family's 1478-position model. The record is from RNAcentral.
ACUGCUCAGUAACACGUGGCUAACCUACCCUUGAGACGGAGAUAACCCCGGGAAACUGGGGCUAAUCCCAGAUAGAUGAGAACUCCUGGAACGGGUUCUCGUCCAAAAGGCGUCUAGGCCAUGCUUCUAGAUGUUGCUCAAGGAUGGGGCCGCGGCCGAUCAGGCUGUUGGUGAGGCAACGGCUCACCAAACCUAUAACCGGUACGGGCCGUGGGAGCGGGAGCCCGGAGAUGGGAACUGAGACAAGGUCCCAGGCCCUACGGGGCGCAGCCGUUGCGAAAACUUGUCAAUGCACGAAAGUGUGAACGGGCUACCCCGAGUGCUGUCCGCUGAGGAUGGCUUUUCUCUGCUGUUAGAAGGCGGAGGAAUAAGGAGAGGGCAAGUCUGGUGUCAGCCGCCGCGGUAAUACCAGCUCUCCGAGUGGUGGGGAUGUUUAUUGGGCUUAAAGCGUCCGUAGCCUGCCCUUCAAGUCUCUCGUUAAAUCCGGCGAUUCAAUCGUUGGACUGCGGGAGAUACUGUUAGGCUAGGAGGCGGGAGAAGCCGACGGUAUUUCCGGGGUAGGGGUAAAAUCCUAUAAUCCCGGGAGGACCACCAGUGGCGUAGGCGGUCGGCUAGCACGCGCUCGACGGUGAGGGACGAAAGCUGGGGGAGCAAACCGGAUUAGAUACCCGGAUAGUCCCAGCUGUAAACGAUGCGGGCUAGGUGUUGGGGUGGCCACGAGCCACUUCAGUGCCGCAGGGAAGCCAUUAAGCCCGCCGCCUGGGGAGUACGGCCGCAAGGCUGAAACUUAAAGGAAUUGGCGGGGGAGCAC